CCGGAAUUGGGUACUUGUUUGGGAGUUUAUCGCCGGUGAUUAAGAGCUCACUCAACUAUAAUCAGAGGCAGAUUGCAAGGUUGGGUGUGGCUAAGGAUAUCGGAGACAGUGUUGGGUUUUGGAUUGGGAGCUUGUGUGAGAUUUUGCCUCUGUGGGUUGCUCUGCUCAUUGGUGCUUUGCAGAAUUUAAUUGGGUAUGGGUGGGUUUGGUUGAUUAUCACUCAUCGAGUUCCAACUCUGCCCUUGUGGGCUGUGAGUAUCGCUUAUCAAAUACUUUUCCCUUUCCUCUCCCCUUUCCAUUUCACGUGAACCAUCGCCUAAAGUAGCUGUGCUUUUUUGUUUCUUCUUUCUUUUGGUUUUUGUUUGAUGUCAGUUUUUUUAUUUUGUCUGGUUUUCUUUUAGUUACUCAUAAUGAUCUGGGUCUUUUUGUUAUACUUUGGAAGAUGUACUGGGUAUCUCAAACCAAGUGAAAAUGAUCACAUAAACUGGAGACCUUGUUUUCUUUCUUCCUUUAUAGAUUUCCGGAGCAUAGUUCAAUCUUUUUUUUUUGUUUGUUUGAUUAGAGCAGUCCUCAAUUUAAUUUGUAAAUCGGAUAAUCUCUUGCAAGAAUAAUUUUUAUUCUCAACCUUUCGGCAUAGUUUCUGGAUUUUAACGUCCGGAGUCCUGCGACUGAUGGUGGGCUGUUUUAUUGUAUUGUCCUUGAUUGAGCAAAGGAGUUAAUUUUAUUAUUUUUUAUAUUCAAUCUUUUUUGGAUUAGACGAUUCUUUGGUUGUAUUUGUGAAAUUUGAUUAACGGUCCAAAUUAGAGUAGGGGGUUUCUAUUUUAUUUUAUUUCUCUGAUUUUGCUUUCUAUCAUAGUUAGUCCUUUCCAUUUGAGUCGAGAUUUGCAUUUCUGCUGGUGAAACAGCAUCAUCCUUCUGUGCAUGAAAUAAGAAAUUAUAUUGAAGAUGGUUAAUAAAUAGGUUUGGCAGAUGUUUAUGCUUUAGAUAUCCAACAGUCUAAGGGCGAAGGUGAUUCUGACUGAUUUCAGAUGUCGGAAUUAGUUGUUCUACUGGGCUCCAAUACUCCCUUGGGGUUUGUCAUAAAUCAAUAGAUCUUCAAAACUUUCAACAAUGUGGUUGAAAAGUUUGGCUUUGCAAAUACAUGAAUCACAUUUUACCUUUGAAACGGUUCUAUCCUCGUUUUUUCUCAUUACAGUUCUGGAGUCAGAUAUUUGUUCCUUUUGUUUUGUAUUUCCUAAUACACUAGACUAACUCCUAAUGCAAUUUAUUAUGCAGUUCCAACUUGUCUUCCUAUGGGCAUUAAUAAUUGGCUGAGCUGUAGUUAUCAUCUGAGUCAUGCACCAAAAAGCUUCUGAAACUUUGUAUUCUAGACAAUUUUAGAUUUAAGCUGGUCAGAUGGAUCCUUAAAAGUAAUAUGCUAAAUUUGACAACUUGUAGAGGGUUGAUUAUUACAUGUGUAGCUCACCCACAAAAAUGCAAUCCAAAAAAGAAAAAAAAUCUGAUCCUUGUGUCUAGAUGUCUGUUUCUAUUAUUGCAUAGACGACAUAUAUAUGUUAUAAUGAUGGAGUCUGCAAUGCAGUUGGAUGAUGAACAUCUAUUACAAUAUUGAAAUUUGAGACAAUUAUAUAGAAGUUUGAUUUUUAGAGUCAUGUGCUCUAAUCAGAGAUAACUUAGGAUACUUUUUAAUCUUGCAUCCCUUCUUGCUGUGGUUAAAUUGUUAAUGGAUAUCAGUAUGCAGAUAUGCAUUCUUAUAUUUGUGGGAACAAAUGGUGAGACCUACUUCAAUACGGUGGAUCUGGUUUCCUGUGUGCAAAAUUUCCCAAAGAGCCGGGGGCCCGUGGUUGGAAUAUUAAAAGGCUUUUCUGGGUUGAGUGGCGCCAUUCUGACGCAGAUAUAUACCAUGAUCCAUUCCCCUGAUCACGCAUCCCUCGUAUUCAUGGUUGCAGUGGGUCCAACAAUGGUAGUUUUUGCUCUAAUGUUCAUUGUUAGACCUGUUGGAGGUCACAGACAAGUCCGGCCAACUGAUGACUUAAGUUUCACAUUCAUCUAUGGUGUCUGCCUCGUUUUGGCUGCUUAUUUGAUGGGGGUCAUGCUUCUUCAAGACCUAGUUGACUUAAGCCACACAGUGGUCACAAUUUUUACAGCAAUUUUGUUUGUCCUCGUUUUGGUACCAAUUGUGAUUCCUGUGUCAUUGAGUUUUCCCUCAGAGCCAAAAGCUCCUGAACUAGAGGCUCUUCUAACAGAGCCACAGAAAGAAGAACCUGGCAAGUCCGAACAGGAUGCAACUGAGGUUAUAUUUAGUGAGUUGGAAGAUGAGAAGCCUAAGGAAGUAGACUUGCUUCCAGCAUCAGAAAGGCAAAAACGAAUUGCCCAUUUGCAAGCAAAACUGUUCCAAGCAGCUGCAGAAGGAGCUGUGAGGGUCAAGAGGAGGAGGGGGCCACGUAGAGGGGAGGACUUUACCCUGAUGCAGGCUUUGAUUAAGGCGGACUUUUGGCUUAUCUUUUUCUCACUUCUAUUGGGUUCUGGAUCUGGUUUGACAGUGAUUGAUAAUUUGGGACAGAUGAGCCAGUCUUUAGGAUAUGAUAAUACACAUAUAUUUGUAUCCAUGAUCAGCAUUUGGAAUUUUCUUGGUCGAAUUGGUGGAGGUUACUUCUCUGAGAUGAUAGUCAGGUAUAAACUUGCUUCAUUUCCAUUGGGUUUCCAGAUUUGGUUUUGAUUUUGGUUUGUGCUCAUUUUUCUUAUCCGAUCUUGUGAUAUUUGUUGAGUAGGGACUAUGCUUACCCACGGCCAGUGGCCAUGGCAGUGGCCCAAGUUACAAUGGCACUUGGACACUUAUUCUUUGCUAUGGGAUGGCCCGGGUCACUGUACAUUGGUACUCUAUUGAUUGGGCUUGGUUAUGGAGCCCACUGGGCAAUUGUGCCAGCUGCUGCCUCUGAGUUGUUUGGCUUGAAGAACUUUGGGGCUUUAUACAAUUUUAUCAAUCUUGCAAAUCCUACAGGUUCACUAGUGUUUUCUGGUGUCAUUGCUAGCAGUAUCUAUGAUCGUGAAGCGGAGAAACAAGCUCAUCACCACCAUCACCAGCAGCAGAACAUGGGAUCAAUUUUCUCUGGCAUGCUUAGUGUGGAUGACCCUCCAAAAUGUGAAGGUUCCAUAUGCUUCUUUCUCACUUCUAUGAUAAUGUCUGGUAUCUGCAUUAUAGCAGUUGUUUUAAGCAUGGUACUCGUACAUCGGACAAAGGUCGUCUAUGCCAACCUCUAUGGAAAAUCACGUACUUGACUCAUGGCAAGAGUAGCAAAAGGGGCAUUGUGAGUAUAGUGUUUGUCCAAUUUAUGUUGAUGUUCUGUAUACUUCAUCCGAGCUCAUGGAGAAGUUGCUCAUUUUUAACCCAUGUUUCUGAAAGUAUUUAUUGAGGGAGAGAUGGUAAAGCUUAGCAAUUCUCCAGAACACACGACUCCAGAGGGGGAAGCAGAUGGAAUUUAGACACUGCUAUUUUCAGGUGUUCCACAACGUUUGCUAUAAUGUAUUGGAGUCACGCAUGGUUCUAUUUUGUAUGUUAAGGUUGUGUAUUUCUUUUCAUUCUAGUUUGGACAUUUAUUUGGUGUGGAAGUAUCAAAUUUGUUCCCUAAAAGUUCUUUCCUACGGCUGUUGUUGGGACUUUUUGAGGAGGAUGUGCUUACUAUUUUUUCAUUCAUUAUUUAACACUGAAUUUCUUUAUUUGCUUACAUUUUGAGAAAAGUUACAGAAUUUUAGUUGUAAAGCAAGCAUCAUCUGGCAGGCUAUAUGACCAUCAUGAUUAUCUAGUCUAUGAAAAGAAUUGCAAAACUUUAAUGUCGUAGGUCUUGUUAUGAAGACUGAACAUUUCAAGGAUGAAAGAGAGUCCGCUUACACAGGCGAUCAGAAAACAGAGUACAUGCAGGGGAUAUCAGGAAACUGGAAAAUGAGGAAUUCGUUACAGAACUUGUUGCUGAGACAUUGCCUUCAUGAUUGAAGGCUGUGCAAUCCGUCCUAAUUUCUCCUUGGUCACCAGUUUUGAUGCCAACACUCCCAAGCUUCCUCAUUGCUGUGAUGGCCAACUCUCCCAAGCUUCCUCAUUGCUGUGAUGGAAGCUCCAUUGUAUUAAAAUAUUGUGUGAAUCACCGAAUACCUUGGCCUUGAGUUUUGUAUAUUAUAUAUAGAUUUUACAAGGAUGCUAUACAUGGAAAGCAAAUAAAUUCCCGCAUGAUUCUAGCUCUAUAUAUGUAAACUAUAAUUUGUCAAAUAAUGUAUGUUAACUGUACAGAAUAAUAAAUGAAGAAAUAAGGAAAAGUAUGGACAACAAAGCUGUCAUUUGACACAUUGAACUCACCUGGGCUGUUGGCAAAAUCAGUGACCGUAGGCUGAGAUGUAGGGUCAGUGAAGAGCACCUCAUAUUAAGCUGGCUAAGUGUGUCUCGCAAACAUGAAGUUGAGUUGGUCAAAGAUCAAAGGAGGGUUCGAGUAGGUUUCCAGCAACCCGAGAUACUUGAUAGAUGAGACCAUCACGACAACCCAAUUCUACACUGAAUCAAGGGCCUCCAACCUGACAGUUUUCAGAAUGAGUUUUUGGUUAAAAAAAGCGAGAUACAAUUUCAGUUACUGCUAAUGAGGUCCUGCGUCCUUACCAGGGCUACAACAUCUCUGGCAGCUAGAGCCAGAAUAUCUGCACAAGAGACUUGUGGGCACUAAAGCUAGUGGCCAGCCGUAUAGUCUCACCCGAGCGAUCCAUCCGAGCGGUAUGGUACCUGGCCGAGAUUUAUAACCCAAAAGACAGACGCUCGGGCAGCUGGACACAAUAAAUGGAACGGUUAUGCAUUUUGCGCAAGACAGGCAACUGUUACAUGUCAUAAAUAAUUGAUCAUUAUCAGUGGUCAAUGAUUGAGCGUUACACAUUAAAGCUGCAAUUAAGGACAAUUAUAAGGGCAAAAAGCAACGUUAAAGAUCACCCUCUAUAGACACCACCCGACACCAGGGGAAAGGUACCCAAAAUGAUUCCUACAAAAUCCUUGCCAAAACAUUGGGGUUUUGCUUGGACAGGAUUCGAGCACACCUUUUUUUGCUGGUCAAGAGAAGUGCAAAUUGAUUUCAAGGGAUAUAAUAUUUCUCUAGGUGUGGAUGUGUGUUCUUGAAAAUAAUUUUUGGUUCAUGGAUAGAAAUAGACUUAUUGGUGGAAAUUAAUUAAUAUUUUCAUUAUUUAUGGAGUCAUGAGUGAGUUUGAGCUUUCUUGACAAAUUGUUAAUAAUAAUUUUUUUUUUUUAAUCUAUGCAUAUGAUAAAUAGGUAAGGUUUCUCACUCUUAUUGGUUUUUUUUAUCAAUAUGAAUAAUUUUUAGCUCAAUGAUUAGAAGAUAAGUGUGUGAUUCUCAUGUUUCUCAUCAUUGUUGGAUCAUUGUGUGUUCAUUGGAAAUCAUUUUGGUGUUUUUCAUGUGGUCUUCUAUCAAAAUCAUUUUUGUGUUGGGUAUAGAUUGAUCUGCUCUGGGGUUGGAUCUAUCCAUUGUGCUGACAAUCAUUUGGCCGAGAGUCUAUGUACAAUUUGCGGAUCAAUCCAACAAGAUCAAUGUUAUGUAGUUCCAACACUUUUAGCAGUCUCUUAUAUUCAGGUUUCAGUCUUUUGGUUGAGAGCAUAUGACCGGAAUUUGGAUUGAACCACCAAGAUCAAUGUUACUCACUCCACGUUUCUCACCCUUAUGUCACAGGAUGCUUCAAAUGACCCUCCCCAUGGGCUUAUAUAGGAGGAGGGAAGCUUCUGGAGACUCUUGGAGCCAUCUACACUAAGCCAUUGGUGGGAAGAGUGUGGAAGGUUCUAGAAAUGCCUAGAGAUGUCCACACAUCUCUACACUAUGGUGGAAGACAUGAGAGGAGUCCAAGGCUUUCUAGAAGAUUCUAAAGAUCUCUUGCAUAUUCUUGUACAUAGGGUUGUACAUAGAUUAGUGUAGGGAGUUCUAGAAUAUUCUUGAUUUGUAAGGAACCCUCCAAGGUUCUAGAGAGUUCCCUUGGUGCCUAUAAAUAGGUGAGGGCCUCAUUUGGCCAAGGCACCACCCAAAUCACUUCCUAACCAAGCAAGUGAGCAUCCAAGCACUUGUAAAGGCUUCGUUGAGUAAUAAAGAGCUUCCAUUCUUUAAGGAGUUGCCUACCAAGCUUCUUAAGCUUUCGAGUCGCGAUAGCCGAGCAAGCUAAGCAUUGGGGAGCAAGGCUGACUUAGCAAGAUCAAGCGUCUUGGCUUGUCUAAGUGCCGCACGAGCUUAGUGAACGACUAAGCCUGUGACACUUAGCCGUUUUUGGGUAAUAUGUCUUUUUGAAGCUUGUGCUACUAUAUUAAGUGAGUGUUUGAGGGGUAAAAUUGCCAUUUUCAAUCUAAAAAAUCUUUUUUGAAAAAGCCAAAAUCCUGAAAUCUAAAAGCCCUAUUUUUUUUCCAAUUAAGCCCUAAUUUCAAAUCUCUCAAAGGGGUCUUUAUUUCUUCCCCUUCACUGCAAGAGCUUCCAUUGCCAAGACCAUGGGAAUUCAUUUCUAAUGAAGUCCUCCAUUAGCAUCAUUCUUAUCAGCAUAAAAAAUCUCUGAAUCAAUGCUCCAUUUGAUGUCAUUUUUUUCUUUUUUUUUUGUGGCUCAUCCGUGGGUUUCUUAGCUUAAGCCAUCUUCUCCAGCAAGUUGCUAUAUCUGGCAACUAUUUCUUGAACUGUCACUCUGACAAGGUUUUCUUUCCAACAACCCUUAGCAUUUAGUCCAUCCAUUUUUCUCUCCACUAUUAGCCUUAUUUGGAUGUUUUCUGUUUGUGGAGCCUUCUCAUUGUAGAUUUCCUAUUUGAGGUUUCAUUUUUACCUUAGAUUGUUCUUGAUUUCUAACAAUGUCAGUCCUAGGCUUUGUUUGUUCAUUGUGAGUGCUUUCUAUACAUUUGCAUGCUUGGAAUGUAUUUUUAUGGUGGUAGAGCAUUUUCUAAAAGUUUUGAAUUGAGACCCUAUGAUGGGAUUAGGGGGAGUUUCUUGUAUCUUGUGAUAGGAGUUAAGAGGAGACUCUUAUAUCCCAUUAAAUUUUUUUGGGAUGUUGAUAUGGAUGCUUAGUAAUAUGUGGAUACUUUAUUUUUGGGCAUUUAAUAUCUUGUUGACAUGUGGAUGCUUGUUGAUUUGAAUAUUUGAUAUUCUAUUAUUAAAUGGUCAUCCCUUUGUUUUUUUUUUCUUGGACAAAAAGAGGUUGAUUGUGGUUUUUGUCUCCUUCUAGGAUAAAUAAGGGAGAUGCAUUAUAUUUAAGAUUUUAGAUAUUGGACGGUGUUGAUGAUUAUUGCCAUUUUGUAUAUAUAUGUUGAUAUUGGAUAUUGGAUGGAUAUCGGAUGUUAUUGAUGAUUAUUGUUAUAUUUUUUUAAGAUACAUGUUGAUAUGUGAACUUAUCUAGUUUGGAUUUGGAUAUACAUGUGAUAAUUCUUUUGGAUAUUUUUUUUUAUAUACUUGGAUAUAUUGUAUCUAUUCAAUUGUUUCAUAUAGGUGCUACUAAUUGUUUUUGGAAGUUUAUUUGCAAGUUUUGUAGUAAUUAGGUUGUGAGAUUGAGUGGGUAAGUGAAUGGCCUUGUAUGAGAAUGGGUGAGGCUUGCUUGCUUAUUCUAUUGUGUUGUAAAGGGUUUUGUCUCAGAAUUGUCAAAGAGGGAGAUUGUGAGUGUUUAGCUAAGUUGACAAUAUUGGACAAAAUUCUUAAGUAUCUCCUAAUUCAGUUUUUUCAAAUCCUUCUUUGAACUACUUGCCUAAUGAAGAUUAAAUUGUUGAAUUUGCUAAGAGACUCAAGUAUAUAGUUGAGGUUGGAGUUUGAUGAAAUUGAAUCAAUCAUAUUUUUUUAAAUGUUGUUUUUCUUGAAUGUAAUUUUUAAGGAGUUAGGGAGGUCUAGGAAGCAUAUAAUAUAUAUAUAUAUAUAUAUAUAUAUAUAUAUAUAUUUACUAAGUAUUCAAAAUGUCUUAUUCCAAAAUUGAUCCAAUUUCAAGUUAGAUCGAUCUAGGUUGCAAUUUCUUGAUCUUAUUUCAUUCGUUGGAUUAAGGGUUUCUUUAAACUUAAAAUACAACAAUUGCUUCCUGAAAUGCGAGAAAUAAUCGUUCUCCCCUUGUGCUUUUUUUUUUCUUACAAAAAUUUAGGGUAUUUGGUUGUCAAGAAAAUCUCAUUUUCUACUUGAUUUUCAAAUUGUUUUCAACAGAUUUUCUUGAGAAAAAAUGAGUUAAUUCUUUUGUUCAUUCAUCUCUCAAUUUUUAAUCUAUUUGGAUUUGGGUGAAAACCCAUUUUCUUCUUAUGUGGAUUAAAAAAGAUGUCGAGAUCGAACUUGGUGAAGAUUCCAAGUGUGCUCCAUAAGAAGAAGGUAUGAAAUUGAAAGUGGAAAUGUGCUAGUCAAGUGAUUCGGGAAGGAUUGGUAGGUUUGAGAUAGGUAAAACCUUGCAUUCAUUUUUUAUUCUUCAUAGUGAACAUUUUCGAUCAAUUGUAGGUUCGUGAUUUUUUAUUUCUUCGAAGAUUUUUCACGUUAAAUUUUGGUGUCAUUGUCUUUUUCUCUAAUUCUACUUCUUGAUUUUAGUUUUCAUUUAUUACUUGGGCAUAAAAGUUUAAUGAAAUGAGUUGAGAUAGGUGUGAUCUUCUUUAAAUAUCUUGAAUAUUUUUUUCUUGUUAUUUUGCUAUGGACACUCAAUAGAAGUAGAAAAUUGUACUAAUGAGAAAUUGUUCUUAUGAACUGUGUUGGGAAGUGUUGUAGUAUUUACAUGUGACUUGCAUUUGAAAAUUAUUGGGAGAGUGUUGUUGUAUAUGUUGGAAAGUAUUCGACGAGAAGAACAAAUUGUGAAAAAUUUAAGGUUAAGUAAUAUAUGUUGGGGAAUGUUUUAAAUUUGUUUAAAAAAACACCUAUUCAAACCCCAUUUAAGUAUAGUAUAUCAUUGAGAUUCAUCUUCAUUUUUUAUAUCUUUAUGGAAAUUAUAUAGUAUUCACAAGCUCAUCUCUAUCUUCUAACAUUUUCUCGUCAUGACCUAAAAUAUUUAUAAAAAUAUUCUUAAAUAAUUUUCUUUAUUCUAUAAUAAAUUAUUAUAUUACAAUAAUACAUAAACUUAAACAAUAUUAUUUACGGGAUUUAUACUAAUUAGAAAUUUAUUAUACCAUCCAAAAGUUAUCAUUGAAAUCGAAAGAUAUUAAUUUAGAUUAUGAAACUUGGACUAAUAGAAAUCUUAAUUAAGAAACAAAUGGGCAAUUAUUAGUUUUUAAUUAAAUGUUAUAAUAAAAUAACAUUUGACAAAAAAGCUUAAAUUUUAUCUAUAAAUUAAAAUGAAAAUCUUAUUCUUUUUAUAAUUUAUAAAAUAAAUUUAUAAAUUAAUUAGUUGCAUCUUCUUAAAAAAAAUCUAAUUUCAAAUGAGUUAGUACUUUUAGAAAUGAUUUCUUUUGAAGAAAAAUAAUGUAUCAAUAAAACUUUUAAAAUUUUGAAAAAUCACUUAUUUAUCACUCUCGAAAAAGUACUCAGACAUGUGAUUAUCCUGAAACGAUUCUAAAGAAAGCACUUUAAUGAAAUGUAUUUCAAAUAUGAACACUCCCAAAGCCAUUAAAAAUUUAGAAGAGAUAAUGACCAAAAGGCAUUUGUAAAAUAAAAAUAUUUCCUUUUUAAGAGGAAAAAAACAAAAGUUCAAGUCUAUCUAAUGAAGUGGCUUGAAUAAGAACAAAAUGAGAGAGGCCAAGCAGAGCAGGGGAUGUUACACACUGAUCCUAUCCCAUCUUCUCCCAUUGUGAGAUCCUAUCUUGCUCUCCUCCCAAAACAUAAGUUACAAAACUACACAUUUUACCAAUAAAUAAAUAAUAGUAGCUAUUAUUAUAUUGGGGGGAAAAAAAAAGCACCACCCAAUCACCAACUGGCCCAUCUCUGUCUCAGCCUCCCUUUUUUUUUUUAUUCUUUUUUUUUUUGUGUCAAUUUGUAUAUUUCGAUAUAAAAGUCACGCUAUGUUUUGGGCUGGUGGCCCUUACUUGGAUUCAUGGAGAAGAAGCCAAAAUCACCUAUCCGCCAUCUUUUUUUCCCAUACCAAAUUGCCCUUGAAUGGCACUUCAAUAACAUCUCCGACCUUAUAUUUGAUUGGUAAUGAAAUAGCAUCAUCAUGUAAGAAAGUUUUACUCAUAAAUUUUAAAUAUUUUAAUUAUGAAUAUUAUUAAAUAUAAGAAAAAUUUUAUAUUUUUUAAUAAUAAAUAUUAAAAUAUAAUAUAAUUUUUAUUUUAAAUAAAUAUUAAAUAUUAAAAAAUAAUACAUAUUUCAUUUUAUUUUUUUAAACUAAAUAUAAGUAUAACGUAACAUAUCUCAUCAUAUAUAUUGUUUUAAAAUUUUAUUUCAUAUCUUAGAACCUCAUAUUUUUGUUAGAAAUUAUAUUAUAAUAUAUGUAUUUUCUAUUAAGCGGGAUAUGAUAUGAUGAGAUAUACAUAUCCUUUAAGAUAUCAUGUCUUAUCCUAUUAAUCAAAAUAUGUCAUAUUUGGUUAGUUGAAUAUAGUAUGAGAAAUGAUAAGGGGACGACACAUCAUAUCUUAUGUUUAGUUGAUAAUGGUAUAAAAGAAGUUAUUUUAUUACUUAUCCUAUUUUAUAUUCAACUAACUAUGAAUGAAAAAUAAAUGAUAAGAUAUAUUAUUCAUCAUUUUUUAUAUUUAUUUUACAUGAAAAAUAUAUUAUUCUUAAGCUAAGAUACAAGACAUAUAUAUAUAUCUCAUAUUUCUUAUUUUUUAAAAUCAAAAUUUAUUAUUUUUUUCUAUUAUUUAUUUAAUAAAAUAAAAAAACUGAUUAAAAAUUAAAAAUAAUACUUAUUUUUAUAUAUUAAAUAACAUAAUAUAAAAAAAUUAUUUAUAAAUUAUAAAUAUUUAUUUUAAACAAAUGUCAAACAUUAAAAAAUAAUAUUUGUUUUAUUUCAUUUUGUUAUAUAUUUUACAAAUUAAAUAUAAGGGUAACAUAACAUAAAUAAUGAUUUUAAGAGCCAUUUAUUUAAAAAAAAUUAAUAUGUGCAAAAUCUUUUUCCCUUAAAUUUCAAAAUUUUAUCUUUUGCUUGCUAUAAUACAAGUGGAAAAUUUUCUCAUUCAAGAUAAGUUAAUCAAUUCAAAGUCUCCACUAAACUUUUUUUUUCUUUUCAAUUUAGCGUAUACAUGAAAACUUUUGAUCUAGACAAAUUUGGUAAUACAAAUGAAACACGUUUUUAUUUUAUUUUAUUUUUUUUCUUUUUCUUUUCCUUUUUUUUAAAAGUGGGGUUCAUUGAUUUUGAUGGGAAAGAGAGAGAAAGAAAAGGAUUGUAUGUGUGACAUUUCAAAGAUUCUCUGAAUUGAUAUGAUUAGUAAGAGAGAAUGCUAUCACGUUAACAAUAGUGAGAGGUUUCUUUUGUACGAAAUAUUGGAAGUUUACAAAAUAUAUUGAAUUUUAUAAAAAUAAAAAAAUAAAAAAACCUAAAGAAAAUUAAAAAAAAAAGAUUGGAAGGAAAGCAUUUUUAAAAAAAUAAUUUUAUAUGAAAUUUUAAUAAAGAAUAAAACAUUAUUAAUACAUAUAUUAAUAAUUUAUUAUGAAUAGAAAAUUUAUGAAUUUUUUUAUGAUCUAUAUUUAAAAUUGUAUGGCAUUUGUUUGGGUGUAAUAAUUAAUAGGUUAUAUUUGGAUCCCAUCAAAAAAUUAAGAAAAUAAAAAAAUAUUUUUUAUAUUUGAUUUUAUCAUAAAAAUAUGAAAAAAAAUGGAAUAUAGUUAAAAUUAAUGAAAAUUUUAUAUAUUUUAAAUUAUUUAAUCUUAAAAUAUGAAAGAAUUAAAUAAGUGAAAAAAAAAAGAAUUUAUUGAAAUUAAAUCUAUUUUUUACUUUUUUUUUUUUUUUUUUUUUUGACAUUUUCCCUCAAAUUAUGGACAACCAAACAUAUGCCAAUAAUUAGAAUAAAUUUUAAAAAAUAAAUUAUGGAACAUCUCCAAAAUGAUAAGAGGGAAAAGGAUAGAAGUUGACAACACGUUUGGAUGAAAAAGAAAAAUGGAAAUAAUUAUGUUUUGUACUAGAAGUGUUUGAAUGUGUUUCUCUUUGGGUAUUUUCUCAAAAGCAAAUGCAGUGAAAAAGAAAAAAAAAUUUAGUUUGAAAAUAUUUAAUAACUUUUAAUUAAAAAUAAUUUUUGAAAAUUUGUUGAUAACUUUUCCAUUAUACCAUACAUGAGAAUAUACUAAAAAUAAUUAUUUUUUAUAUUUGUAUUUUCAAGUAAAACUUUAUUUCUCUGAAUGUAAUUGAUAACCAUUUUUAAAAAUUAUUUCUAAAAACCUUUUUAUUUUUUAGAAAUAUUUUUGAACACUUUACCAAAUAAAACCUACAUCCUUUAUUUAUUUUUAAUCAAAAUUAAAAUAUAUUUUAUUUUUUUAAUAAAUAUGAAUUAUAGUUCUGUCUGCUUGAAAGAAUUUUAUAGAAAAAAUAAUUUUUUUUAUUUAAAUUAUACAUUUUUUGGAUUUUUAAAUUUAACCAUGAUGUGUUUAAAAUAGAAAAAAAUUGUUACAAUAUGAACGAAAUUUUAUUUUGAGAUAAAAAAGAAACUGAAUAACAAAUCAUGGGUAGAAAGCUGCAGAAAUCUACCUAAAAACAGCAGGCUUGUUUGGAACCAUUGAAUUCGUAAAGCCGUGUCUACUCUUUGGGCAUUAAUAAAUGGAGGAGAAUUUAUCAAACAAUGGCAUUUCUGUAACUAUUAGGAAAUACCAUGGGAGUUUUCAUCCUCUCCAGUUUCAUAUAGGAUACAGGCGACGAUACUCCACGCCACCAACUCAUCAGUCAUCAGACUCAUCACUGUCAUCACUCUUCUCUCAGCCUUUCGCCCCACCUCUUUCUUUCUUUCUUUCUUUUUUUUUUUUUCCUUUCAUAAUUGAAAAAGUGACCAGAAAGCUUCCAUAAAAUAUUCAGCUCUUUGGGUCUUUGAGCUUCUCAGAUCUCUAAGCCUACUUGAGAGAAAGUUUACAAACAGGGGAACGGCUUGUUUGGAUGAGAUGAUUCGAUUACCAGAGAGGUUUAGAGCGUUUUUAAACAACAGAUGGCUGGUAUUUGUGGCCGCAAUGUGGAUACAGUCGUGUGCCGGAAUUGGGUACUUGUUUGGGAGUUUAUCGCCGGUGAUGAAGAGCUCUCUCAAUUACAAUCAGAGGCAGAUUGCAAAGUUGGGUGUGGCUAAGGAUAUUGGAGACAGUAUUGGGUUUUGGAUUGGGAGCCUGUGUGAGAUUUUGCCUCUGUGGGCUGUUCUGCUCGUUGGUGCUUUGCAGAAUUUUAUUGGGUAUGGGUGGGUUUGGUUGAUUGUCACUCAUCGAGUUCCAACACUGCCUUUGUGGGCUGUGAGUAUCGUUUAUCAAAUACUUUUCCCUUUUCUCUCCCUUUUCGAUUUCACGUGAUCCAUCGCCUAAAGUAGCUGUGCUUUUUUGUUUCUUCUUUCUUUUGGUUUUUGUUUGAUGUCUGUUUUCUUCUAGUUACACAUAAUGAUCUGGGUCUUUUUGUUAAACUUUGCAAGAUGCACUGAGUAUCUCAAACUAAGUUCAAAUGAUCACUCUUUAGAUUUCUGGAGCACAGUUCAAUCCUUUUUUUGUUUGAUAGAGCAGUGCUCAGUUUAAUUUGUCAAUCGGAUAUUCUCUUGCAAGAAUAAUUGUUAUUCUCUACUUUUCGGAAAAGUUUCUGGAUUUUAGCAUCCAGAGUCCUGCAAUUGAUAGUGGGUUGUUUUAUUGUAUUACCCUUCUGCAUAUUCUGUUUUUCUUUUACUUUUCCUUUGUUCUUUACCUAUAGGGAUCCUUUUAAGAUUCUGGAAUUGAUUUUAGCUGCAUUAUUUCCUUGAUUGAGCAAAGGAGUUAAUUUUAUUAUUUUUGAUAUUCAGUCUUCUUUAGAUUAAAUUUUUGAAAUCUUAUUUACUUUCCAAAUUUGAGUAGGGGUUUCUGUUUUAUUUUAUUUUAUUUUUCUAAUUUUGCUUUAUAUCGUAGUUGGUCCUUUCCAUUUGAGUUGAGACUUGCAUUUCUGCUGGUGAAACAGCAUUAUCCUUCUGUGCAUGAUAAGAAAUUACAUUGAAGAUGGUUAAUAAAUAAAUUUGGCAGAUAUUUAUGCUUCAGAUAUCCAACAAUCUAAGGGCUAAGGUGCUUGUGAUUGAUUUCAGAUGGAUGAAUUGGUUGUUCUACUGGGCUCCACUACUCCCUUGGGAUUGGUCAUGAAUCACAUUUCAAAGAUCUAAGGGCAAUCCAUUUCACAAGAUCUUUGAUGCUUUUGACAAUGUGGUUGAGAAGUUUGGCUUUGCAAAUGAUCUGAUACAUGAAUCAAAUUUUACCUUUGAAAUGUUUGUGUCAUCGUUUUUUUUCUCAUUACAGUUCUGGAGUCAGAUAUUUGUUCCUUGUGUUUUGUAUUGCUCUCCAAAGUACAACCUUUUUUGUUUUCACUAAACUUCAAAUUAUGUUCUAAUUUUUGGUUUACAUGGAUUGCCCUAGUGAGCUAUAUGUCCCUUUACUCCUUUAUCGGUAUAUUUGCUUCUUCAAAUUAUGCAUUUACCCUGGCUUUUAUUUCACCAGAAUUUACCAAUACAAUCAGUACAAUAAGAUAAUAGUGAAAUAUACUUAAAAUUCAGCACUAACAUAUUAUGAUUGAAAUAUAUUAGCCCUAGUGUACAUUGUUUGCUUUUGGGUUAGAUUGAUAGCCUAACAUGGUAUUAGAGCUUUGAUUAAUUAAAGGUCUCGAGUUUGAGUCUCUAUGUUUGUUUAUUCCCACACCUGUUUAUUUGCAAUUCGUAAUAUGUGAUUUGCUUCUCCAUGUGUGGGUAUGAGGCCCAGUAAACCAACUCUCAAUGCAAUUUAUUAUAUGGUUCCAACUUGUCUUAUUUUGGGCAUUAAUCAUUGGCUGAGCUGUAGUUAUCAUAUGAGUCAUGCACUGAAAAGCUUCUGAAACUUUGUGUUCCAGACAAUGUUAGAUUUAAGCUGGUCAAAUGGAUCCUUAAGUUGAAAGUAAUAUGCUAAAUUUGACUACUUGUAGCCUUAUGAGGAGACUUUUUAAUCUUGCAUCCCUUCUUGCUGUGGUUAAAUUGUUAAUGGAUAUCAAAAUGCAGAUAUGCAUUCUUAUAUUUGUGGGAACAAAUGGUGAGACCUACUUCAAUACGGUGGAUCUGGUUUCCUGUGUGCAAAAUUUCCCAAAGAGCCGGGGGCCUGUGGUUGGAAUAUUAAAAGGCUUUGCUGGGUUGAGUGGCGCCAUUUUGACACAGAUAUAUACCAUGAUCCAUUCCCCUGAUCACGCAUCCCUCGUAUUCAUGGUUGCAGUGGGUCCAAUAAUGGUAGUUUUUGCCCUAAUGUUCAUUGUUAGGCCUGUUGGAGGUCACAGACAAGUCCGGCCAACUGAUGACUUAAGUUUCACAUUCAUCUAUGGUGUCUGCCUCCUUUUGGCUGCUUAUUUGAUGGGGGUCAUGCUUGUCCAAGAUCUAGUUCACUUAAGCCACACAGUGGUCACAAUUUUUACAGCAAUUUUGUUUGUCCUCAUUUUAGCACCAAUUGUGAUUCCUGUGUCACUGAGUUUUUUCUCAGAGCCAAAAGCUCCUGAAGCAGAGGCUCUUCUAACAGAGCCACAGAAAGACGAACCUGGCAAGUCCGAACAGGAUGCAACUGAGGUUAUAUUUAGUGAGGUGGAAGAUGAGAAGCCUAAGGAAGUAGACUUGCUUCCAGCAUCAGAAAGGCAAAAACGAAUUGCCCAUUUGCAAGCAAAACUGUUCCAAGCAGCUGCAGAAGGAGCUGUGAGGGUCAAGAGGAGGAGGGGGCCGCAUAGAGGGGAGGAC
Molecule: long non-coding RNA, 15751 nt
Filed under: Vitis vinifera (wine grape)
Lineage: Eukaryota; Viridiplantae; Streptophyta; Magnoliopsida; Vitales; Vitaceae
Description: long non-coding RNA (VVIN_LNC004819)
Source: RNAcentral